GUCGACCAUGUCACCGAGAAGCACGUCAGAGUUCUGGCCAGGCACGGCAAGACAAUGUUGGGUGAUAGCGGAGCUGCUCUUAUUGCUCUUGUGGGCACCUUCCUCGUACGCAAACAUGGAUAAUUUGGGUGAAUCGUUUGCGCAAGUCUCCGGCGGCAACGCCUCUGAACCUGGACUGGUCCACCAGACGACCGACGCCGGAAUCUUUGACCCCGUCACCCCCCCCCGAUGGCCAGCAACUUGACAGAACCUGCGGUGUAAUUCUACUGCCAGAAUCGUUUGCCUUUGAUGUAAGCAGGCGUGUAGGCAAGCUCCAAAGUUAAAUCUGCUGCAAACUCAAGCAUGAUGCGACCGGGGAACUGACGGAGGGGUGGAUAGAGCAGAGGGAAGCAGGUCUUACCGUGUACAACGAACAGGAAUCCGACUGUGACAAGAUGAGCCGCUCCUCUGCAGAAAAGGGGCCAAGAAAUGAAAAUGUCGGACUGGUGUGAAUGUCUCCGAAGUGGUGCGGCUGUUCAGCGAUGUUGUCGCAACACUAGGCAUGGCGCUAAAUGUCCCUCAGCAACUGGAGGUGAAGAAAAUUGGUGCCGCAGUUCGAUUGCUGGUUCUUGGAUUCUCCAGCAAGCGUGUGAAAACUUUUUAAAAAUGACACAUAAAAUCCUUAG
Molecule: long non-coding RNA, 665 nt
Filed under: Toxoplasma gondii VEG
Lineage: Eukaryota; Apicomplexa; Conoidasida; Eucoccidiorida; Sarcocystidae
Source: RNAcentral